UCUCCGUAGGUGAACCUGCGGAGGGAUCAUUACAGAGUUCAUGCCCUACCGGGUAGAUCUCCCACCCUAUGUUAUUAUUACUUUGUUGCUUUGGCGGGCCGUUAGGCUCCGGCCCGACUACCGGCCCCGGCUGGUAAGCGCCCGCCAGAGGACCCAAAACCCUGAAUAUUAGUGUCGUCUGAGUACUAUAUAAUAGUAAAAACUUUCAACAACGGAUCUCUUGGUUCUG
This 229-nucleotide unclassified non-coding RNA is filed under the name plant metagenome. RNAcentral describes it as "partial contains small subunit ribosomal RNA, internal transcribed spacer 1, and 5.8S ribosomal RNA". The record is from RNAcentral.